This is a long non-coding RNA of Gallus gallus (chicken), 1065 nucleotides long. The record is from Ensembl. NCBI's taxonomy places the organism in Eukaryota, Metazoa, Chordata, Aves, Galliformes, Phasianidae.
UGUCAUUUCACGGGGAGAAAACUGGAAGUCCCUGCACAAAAGGAAGGAGCGCUCACACAGGGAGUGGAAAUUUGCACUGGCUCCUUCGGUUGGUGCAAUGGAGGUGGUUUUAAAACUUCAAGUGAGAAAAAUAUCUGUCUUCCUUCUUCUCCUCAUUUCAGAGCCCUAAAACCUUCUUAUGUCGAAGUGCACUUGCGUAUUUGAGUUCAAAGAAGGCAGGGACACAGAGGAGAAGCAACAGAUGGCUGAUAUUGCUAGGAAGUGAACUCAUCCCUUCAGUUAUCUUCUGGCCCUCCUGAGCUCAUUCUGGAGUUAUUUAGAGCCAGUUCCUCUCUGUUUUUUCUCUUUGGGAAGCUGAGAGACAUCGACUUUUCCAAGCUACAAGCUGGACACGUCCCUCCGUCUCCAAGAGGAUGGCAACUCACAGCCUGGGAGCAACCCAAUGCCCAAAGUAUGGUGCACAACUCCACAGCAAAUGGCCGCGUGCUGGCAGGAGUGGGUACAUGAAGGUUCUAAAGGUUGUACUUGAGCUCACUCUGCCCCUAUAAAAUUCCCUACAUGUGCAGAUGCGUGAAGAAGACUCAUCUGCUGCUUUUCCAAGCCACUUGCUUGAGAGAAGGAUGGAUGGACUGUGAACCCGUUAAAUAACCUCCUCAUUUUGGGUCCAUUUGCUUUGCCCUCGAGAUGAGUCAGGUUCAAAGAAAACAAAACAAACAAACAAAAAAAGGAACACAUUUGUGACAUCUUUUGCUUUUACGGAGGAUAUGUCCUCUCCCCUGUGCAGAAUGGAUCAUACAUCAUGACGAUGCACAGUGGUCUGAGAAUGGAUGAGAGUUUGCAUGGAAACACCCCUAAGGUGCAUAAGGAACAGUGUUAGAUACACUAAAUGUAUGGCAAUCUCUUUCUACCUGUUUUUAGAAGACAAUUGCAGACCUUUCCAGUGCAGGAGAAGUACAUCCACACUCACUGAGCAAAUCUCUCCUCCAUUGAGCCUGCUCAAUUCCUGUGCCCUAAAGGGCCCCCACAUCACAUCACUCCAUUUUUCUUAUCCUCAAUCAUUUCCAG